GCAUUGGUGGUUCAGUGGUAGAAUUCUCAUCUUCCACGCGGGAGAUUCAGGUUUGAUUCCCAGCUAAUGCA
Molecule: transfer RNA, 71 nt
Filed under: Loxodonta africana (African savanna elephant)
Lineage: Eukaryota; Metazoa; Chordata; Mammalia; Proboscidea; Elephantidae
Rfam family: tRNA
About the family: Transfer RNA (tRNA) molecules are approximately 80 nucleotides in length. Their secondary structure includes four short double-helical elements and three loops (D, anti-codon, and T loops). Further hydrogen bonds mediate the characteristic L-shaped molecular structure. tRNAs have two regions of fundamental functional importance: the anti-codon, which is responsible for specific mRNA codon recognition, and the 3' end, to which the tRNAs corresponding amino acid is attached (by aminoacyl-tRNA synthetases). tRNAs cope with the degeneracy of the genetic code in two manners: having more than one tRNA (with a specific anti-codon) for a particular amino acid; and 'wobble' base-pairing, i.e. permitting non-standard base-pairing at the 3rd anti-codon position.
Source: Rfam by way of RNAcentral